GUGAGGAAUAUUGGUCAAUGGGCGGGAGCCUGAACCAGCCAAGUCGCGUGAAGGAAGAAGGAUCUAUGGUUCGUAAACUUCUUUUGCAGGGGAAUAAAGUGCAGGACGUGUCCUGUUUUGUAUGUACCCUGAGAAUAAGGAUCGGCUAACUCCGUGCCAGCAGCCGCGGUAAUACGGAGGAUCCGAGCGUUAUCCGGAUUUAUUGGGUUUAAAGGGUGCGGAGGUGGUUUGAUAAGUCAGCGGUGAAAGUUUGCAGCUUAACUGUAAAAAUGCCGUUGAAACUGUCGGACUUGAGUGUAAAUGAGGUAGGCGGAAUGCGUGGUGUAGCGGUGAAAUGCAUAGAUAUCACGCAGAACUCCGAUUGCGAAGGCAGCUUACUAAGCUACAACUGACACUGAAGCACGAAAGCGUGGGGAUCAAACAGGAUUAGAUACCCCUGUAGUCC
Molecule: ribosomal RNA, 445 nt
Filed under: uncultured bacterium
Lineage: Bacteria
Description: partial 16S ribosomal RNA
Rfam family: Bacterial small subunit ribosomal RNA
Source: RNAcentral